CCUACGGGGGGCAGCAGUGGGGGAUAUUGCACAAUGGGGGAAACCCUGAUGCAGCGACGCCGCGUGGGUGAAGAAGCGCCUCGGCGCGUAAAGCCCUGUCAGCAGGGAAGAAAAUGACGGUACCUGAAGAAGAAGCCCCGGCUAACUACGUGCCAGCAGCCGCGGUAAUACGUAGGGGGCAAGCGUUAUCCGGAUUUACUGGGUGUAAAGGGAGCGUAGACGGUUACGCAAGUCUGGAGUGAAAGGCGGGGGCCCAACCCCCGGACUGCUUUGGAAACUGUAUAACUGGAGUGCAGGAGAGGUAA
This 305-nucleotide ribosomal RNA is filed under the name uncultured bacterium. RNAcentral's name for it is "partial 16S ribosomal RNA". It matches the Rfam family "Bacterial small subunit ribosomal RNA", at positions 338 to 660 of the family's 1533-position model. The record is from RNAcentral.